This 433-nucleotide long non-coding RNA is filed under the name Salvia miltiorrhiza (redroot sage). Its description in RNAcentral is "long non-coding RNA (SMIL_LNC009358)". Lineage: Eukaryota; Viridiplantae; Streptophyta; Magnoliopsida; Lamiales; Lamiaceae. The record is from RNAcentral.
GCAAUGCUUGUGGAGGAUGUCCGGGCCAAGAGAAGUGUUUUUGUGGAGAGGGCACCCAAGAGUAGAAAAGCUUUCCAAUGGUUAGAGUGCUGUUUCCGACCUCCAUGAGCCAUGAGGUAUCGUCGAGCUCUAGACGUUAAAUUAAGCACUUGUUGGGAGGUAACCCAACCGUUUUCUUUGUUUUGUUUCUCUUUCUUUUAGUUUCGUUUUGUUUCUUUUUGUUUCUUUGUUUUGUUUUGGGGUUUUAGUGCAGUGUUGAGCUUGGAAGAUGCGGGAACUCGCGCUUUGUUCAUACCACCACCAUGGAGCAUGUUUUUCUGUGAGUAGUGACACACAUAUCAUCAUCCCUCCAAACUUAUUUUCGAACUUAUGUUCUGUAAUAAGUUUGGGGGAGGGGGGUGAGAGUAGAUAUGUGUAUCACUUUUAUCUUUUU